CAUGUCCUUUUGAUAAUAAUUUAAGGUCUAAUCUGCUCAAUGAAUUUUAAAUUGCCGCAGUAUUUUGACUGUGCAAAGGUAGCAUAAUAAUUAGUUUAUUGAUUAUAAACUGGAAUGAAUGAUUGGACAAGAAAAUUUCUGUCUCUUUUUUAAAUUUUUUGAAUUUUAUUUUUAAGUUAAAAAGCUUAAAUGUUUAUAAAAGACGAGAAGACCCUAUAGAGUUUAAUAUUUAUAAUUAAUUAAAUGUUAGUAAAUUUUUUAAUUGUAUUUAUUUAUUUGGGGUGAAUUAAAAAUUUAAUAAAUUUUUUAAUUUUUUUAUUGGUGAUUACUAAAUUCUAAAUCUAUAAUUUAUAAAUUUAUAAUAAAUUACCUUAGGGAUAACAGCGUAAUUAUUUUUAAAAGUUCUUAUUUAAAAAAUAGUUUGCGACCUCGAUGUUGGAUUAAAAUUAAUUUUUGGUGCAGUAGCUAAAAAAUUAGGUCUGUUCGACCUAUAAAAUUUUACAUGAUCUGAGUUUAAACCGGUGUAAACCAGGUUGGAUUCUAUCUUUAAAAAAAUAAUAUAUUUUAGUACGAAAGGACCCAAUAUAUAUUAAAUUAAUUG
RNAcentral lists this ribosomal RNA (601 nucleotides) under Matsudanoeus yuasai. RNAcentral describes it as "partial 16S ribosomal RNA". The stretch from base 377 to 535 matches the Rfam family "Bacterial large subunit ribosomal RNA", at positions 2473 to 2632 of the family's 2925-position model. The record is from RNAcentral. Lineage: Eukaryota; Metazoa; Arthropoda; Insecta; Coleoptera; Lycidae.